Long non-coding RNA from Nicotiana attenuata, 1715 nucleotides. RefSeq lists it as uncharacterized. The record is from RefSeq and is a predicted model, not a curated record. The transcript is spliced from 7 exons. Lineage: Eukaryota; Viridiplantae; Streptophyta; Magnoliopsida; Solanales; Solanaceae.
CACAACUUUGCUAUUAUAAGACCAUCUUUAUUUGAUAUCGUGGCACUAAGAGGCAACAUCAAUCAAAUAACAACUGAUACACCAGAUUGGAUAUGUAAGGUCCAAAUUAUCGACAUAAGUCGAGAAUGAGAGAGUCCCGAGAAAAAAGUUAGAUUUCAAAAUCUGAUCUUUGAAGAUGAAGAGAGCAACAAAUUCGGUGAGUCGUGUAUGGCGAUGCUAUUCCAUAUUAUGCUGACAAGCUUAAAUUCUUCUAGACAUAUCUAAUCUCCACUGGAAAAGUUAAAGCUUCAUCAACUUUAUAUGGUCCACCAAUAUAUAAAUUUUAUUGGGUGCUUGAUCGCAAGACUAUAGUGGAACAUAUUGAGCCAAAUAAUGAGAGUGAAAAACCACUGCUACCACCGGCAAAGUUGAAUAUCACUUCUUUCGACCACAUUGCUCAGAUGACUCCACAACACACUGCUACAGAAAUUGGUUAUUCACCCCUGUCAACUAUUACCUUGAUGAAACAUUUGGCUUAUAAAAAUAUAUUCCCCUCAUUAUAUUUCUUCGCUCCGGAAAGAUCAUUCUGAUUUUUUUUCCCAAGCAGAUAUAUUGGGAGUCAUCGUCCGCUGUGGCUGUCCAAAAUAUGCAGGUCGUGCUUUAAAUAGAUGCCGGGAGAUUACUAUUAAAAACAAUCAGAAAAAGCACUUUCUGCUCACUUUAUGGGAGGACUUUGCAGACAUUGAAGGAGUGGAGCUUUUGGAAAAAAUCAAAAAUAUGAAGGAUAUCUUGUAAUUCUUGGAAGAAGUAUCAAAAUAUCUCCUUAUCGGCUUAUCACUUCAAACUAGAUUCAACUCAACAAUACAAAUAAAUCCUACUUAUCCCCCAGGCAUUGAAGUUGAUCAAUUGGGCAAAAACGAACAAAGAUAUACUUUCAGCUUAUGCAUCAGGUGGUGUUUCAGGGUCAUCCCCCUCUCUCACAUCGCUUCCUGUUCAGCAACAAGUGAUCCCCAUCGCAGACAUUGUGGCACAAAAUGCUAUUGGGAUUUUCUAUAUUGAGGCAGAAAUAUCAAUAACAGAUGACAUGCAGAAGUUUUGUGUGCUUGAAUAUUGAUAAUAGGCUAGAUUUAUGUGUAGUUUGGCGACUAUUUAUGCCCCAACUUGACUAUGUUUCACUAUUCUAGGAUAGUUAAAUGACGAUAAAUUGGCUGUAAUUGUGAGUUUCAUGUUUUGCAGGAGCGAGUUACGCUUAUGAGAACUUAGGACAGUGUUUGGAGCUAAAUUAAAGCAAGGAAAGCCCCUCGGAGCUGAGUACAUUUGAAAGAAUAGAGAAAAGAAGAGCAAAAAUGAUGACCCAGCUUAGCGCGGCCAUUAGCGCGACCGCGCUAGUUCAGAACCUCGAGGCAGAAUAAUAUGCUAUAUGCGUGGCCAUUAGCGCGGGCACGAGCGCGGCCGCGCUAGUCCAGGUCGGAGCAAAUAAUUUCAGGGGUAAACUUGAAAGCUCGGGGGUAAUUCUACUUUACCUAUAAGAGGUCCAGCUCGCCCAAGGAGACAUUAUCAAGGUUUUUACAAUUGAGUUGAAGGCAAGAAGAGGCAAGAGGCAAGGAGGAUAAUUCGACAUCGAGUUCUACCUUUCUUCCUUUUAUAUUUACCGUUUAUGAUGAAUUUUCAUGCUAUGAUGAACACGUUUAUGAGUAGCUAAUUAUUUAGUCUAGGGUUUUGAUGGAACCUGUUGA